Nomascus leucogenys (northern white-cheeked gibbon) is the source of this 381-nucleotide long non-coding RNA. RefSeq lists it as uncharacterized. NCBI's taxonomy places the organism in Eukaryota, Metazoa, Chordata, Mammalia, Primates, Hylobatidae. The transcript is spliced from 3 exons. The record is from RefSeq and is a predicted model, not a curated record.
AGAAAGCUAUUUCCCAUAAUGACAUGCCCAAGUCCUAACCCCCAAAAACUGUGAAUGUGAACUGAUUUGUGAAUAGGGUCUUGGUAGAUGCAUUCACGUUAAGGAUAUCAGGACAAGAUCAUCCCAGAUUCAGGACUGAUGUACACUUCAAACUUUCAUUCUAUAUUUUCACACAAGUAGUGUUGUUUGGCUCUGAGAAUCACUUUCAUUUUUAUUUCCAGGAAAUUUCAUAUCAUUCUCUUCAAUUCAGUGAGUGCAAAAGAAGCAAGACAAGGAAUGAUAUAAAAUUACUCCUAAAAGAAAAUUCACUUUUAAUCUUGCUUAAAACAAGUUUUUGUUUGUUUGUUUGUUUUUGAAAUGGAGUCUCGCUCUGUCACCCAG